Molecule: transfer RNA, 91 nt
Filed under: Methylibium sp. Pch-M
Lineage: Bacteria; Pseudomonadati; Pseudomonadota; Betaproteobacteria; Burkholderiales; Sphaerotilaceae
Description: tRNA-Ser
Source: RNAcentral
GGAGAGCUGCCCGAGCGGGAAGGGGCUGGCGUGCUAAGCCAAGGUCGGCGACCGGAUCGCCGCGGGCGUUCGAUCCGCCCGCUCUCCGCCA